Molecule: ribosomal RNA, 497 nt
Filed under: uncultured bacterium
Lineage: Bacteria
Description: partial 16S ribosomal RNA
Rfam family: Bacterial small subunit ribosomal RNA
Source: RNAcentral
GAUGAACGCUGGCGGCGUGCCUAAUACAUGCAAGUCGAGCGAACAGACGAGGAGCUUGCUCCUCUGACGUUAGCGGCGGACGGGUGAGUAACACGUGGAUAACCUACCUAUAAGACUGGGAUAACUUCGGGAAACCGGAGCUAAUACCGGAUAAUAUAUUGAACCGCAUGGUUCAAUAGUGAAAGACGGUUUUGCUGUCACUUAUAGAUGGAUCCGCGCCGCAUUAGCUAGUUGGUAAGGUAACGGCUUACCAAGGCAACGAUGCGUAGCCGACCUGAGAGGGUGAUCGGCCACACUGGAACUGAGACACGGUCCAGCCUCCUACGGGAGGCAGCAGUAGGGAAUCUUCCGCAAUGGGCGAAAGCCUGACGGAGCAACGCCGCGUGAGUGAUGAAGGUCUUCGGAUCGUAAAAAUCUGUUAUUAGGGAAGAACAAAUGUGUAAGUAACUAUGCACGUCUUGACGGUACCUAAUCAGAAAGCCACGGCUAACUACGUG